RNAcentral lists this ribosomal RNA (250 nucleotides) under uncultured bacterium. RNAcentral's name for it is "partial 16S ribosomal RNA". It matches the Rfam family "Bacterial small subunit ribosomal RNA", at positions 524 to 773 of the family's 1533-position model. The record is from RNAcentral.
UACGGAGGGCGCAAGCGUUGUUCGGAAUCAUUGGGCGUAAAGCGCGUGCAGGCGGCUUGGUAAGUCGGGUGUGAAAGCCCGGGGCUCAACCCCGGAACUGCACCCGAUACUGCCUCGCUAGAGUCCCGGAGAGGAUGGCGGAAUUUCCGGUGUAGAGGUGAAAUUCGUAGAUAUCGGAAGGAACACCAGCGGCGAAGGCGGCCAUCUGGACGGUGACUGACGCUCAGACGCGAAAGCGUGGGGAGCAAAU